AGCAGCCGCGGUAAUUCCAGCUCCAAUAGCGUAUAUUAAAGUUGUUGCAGUUAAAAAGCUCGUAGUUGAAUUUCGGGAUCAAGGAAUCGGUCAUGCCUUGGUAUGUACUGGUUUUAUUGGUUCUCACCUUCUAAAGAACCAUGAUGUCAUUCAUUUGAUGUUAUGGGGAAUUAGGACUGUUACCUUGAAAAAAUUAGAGUGUUUAAAGCAAGCUUACGCUUGAAUACAUUAGCAUGGAAUAAUGAAAUAGGACGUUUGAUUCUAUUUUGUUGGUUUCUAGGAUCGACGUAAUGAUUAAUAGGGAUAGUUGGGGGCAUUAGUAUUCAAUUGUCAGAGGUGAAAUUCUUGGAUUUAUUGAAGACUAACUACUGCGAAAGCAUUUGCCAAGGAUGUUUUCAUUAAUCAAGAACGAAAGUUAGGGGAUCGAAGACGAUCAGAUACCGUCGUAGUCUUAACCAUAAAC
This 463-nucleotide ribosomal RNA is filed under the name uncultured Glomus. RNAcentral's name for it is "SSU rRNA". It matches the Rfam family "Eukaryotic small subunit ribosomal RNA", at positions 569 to 1037 of the family's 1831-position model. The record is from RNAcentral. Lineage: Eukaryota; Fungi; Glomeromycota; Glomeromycetes; Glomerales; Glomeraceae.